UACAGAGGGGGCAAGCGUUGUUCGGAAUUACUGGGCGUAAAGGGCGCGUAGGCGGCCAUGCGUGUCUUCCGUGAAAUCCCUCGGCUUAACUGAGGACGUGCGGAAGAAACUGCAAGGCUUGAGUCCGGGAGAGGGGGGUGGAAUUCCCAGUGUAGCGGUGAAAUGCGUAGAUAUUGGGAGGAACACCGGUGGCGAAGGCGGCCCCCUGGACCGGUACUGACGCUGAGGCGCGAAAGCGUGGGUAGCAAACGGG
This 253-nucleotide ribosomal RNA is filed under the name uncultured bacterium. RNAcentral describes it as "partial 16S ribosomal RNA". It matches the Rfam family "Bacterial small subunit ribosomal RNA", at positions 524 to 776 of the family's 1533-position model. The record is from RNAcentral.